This 393-nucleotide ribosomal RNA is filed under the name uncultured bacterium. Its description in RNAcentral is "bacterial SSU rRNA". It matches the Rfam family "Bacterial small subunit ribosomal RNA", at positions 32 to 409 of the family's 1533-position model. The record is from RNAcentral.
AAUCAACGCUGGCGGCGUGCCUAACACAUGCAAGUCGAACGCGAAAGUCCCGAAAGGGAUAAGUAGAGUGGCAAACGGGUGAGUAACGCGUGGGUGACCUGCCUCCGAGUGGGGGAUAACGUUUCGAAAGGAACGCUAAUACCGCAUAAUAUGCCGCCUUUUAAGAGGUGGACAUCAAAGCCUGGGACCGUAAGGCCAGGCGCUUGAAGAGGGGCCCGCGUCUGAUUAGCUAGUUGGUGGGGAAUGGCUCACCAAGGCAACGAUCAGUAUCCGGCCUGAGAGGGCGGACGGACACACUGGGACUGAGACACGGCCCAGACUCCUACGGGAGGCAGCAGUGGGGAAUUGUUCGCAAUGGGCGCAAGCCUGACGACGCAACGCCGCGUGGAGGAU